This 91-nucleotide small RNA is filed under the name Olleya sp. Hel_I_94. RNAcentral describes it as "Flavo-1 RNA". It matches the Rfam family "Flavo-1 RNA". Lineage: Bacteria; Pseudomonadati; Bacteroidota; Flavobacteriia; Flavobacteriales; Flavobacteriaceae. The record is from RNAcentral.
CCUUAGCUUUGAUUGCGUUAGCGGUAGAAACGACAUCCUUUUUUGUGCGCGCUUAUGCGCAAAAAAGAUAUAGUGGAUGACGCGACCCUUG